RNAcentral lists this ribosomal RNA (484 nucleotides) under uncultured bacterium. RNAcentral describes it as "partial 16S ribosomal RNA". It matches the Rfam family "Bacterial small subunit ribosomal RNA", at positions 30 to 507 of the family's 1533-position model. The record is from RNAcentral.
AUUGAACGCUAGCGGGAUGCUUUACACAUGCAAGUCGAACGGCAGCGCGGACUUCGGUCUGGCGGCGAGUGGCGAACGGGUGAGUAAUGUAUCGGAACGUGCCCAGUAGCGGGGGAUAACUACGCGAAAGCGUAGCUAAUACCGCAUACGCCCUACGGGGGAAAGCAGGGGAUCGUAAGACCUUGCACUAUUGGAGCGGCCGAUAUCGGCUUAGCUAGUUGGUGAGGUAACGGCUCACCAAGGCGACGAUCCGUAGCUGGUUUGAGAGGACGACCAGCCACACUGGGACUGAGACACGGCCCAGACUCCUACGGGAGGCAGCAGUGGGGAAUUUUAGGCAAUGGGGGCAACCCUGAUCCAGCCAUCCCGCGUGUGCGAUGAAGGCCUUCGGGUUGUAAAGCACUUUUGGCAGGAAAGAAACGUCGCGGGCUAAUACCCCGUGGAACUGACGGUACCUGCAGAAUAAGCACCGGCUAACUACGUG